Molecule: unclassified non-coding RNA, 249 nt
Filed under: Hevea brasiliensis (rubber tree)
Lineage: Eukaryota; Viridiplantae; Streptophyta; Magnoliopsida; Malpighiales; Euphorbiaceae
Source: RNAcentral
GCGGUGGCAAGGUCUUGCACACCUCUACGUUGAAGCUCCAUUUUAGCCCAAGGCGAGAGGCCAUCAAGGAAACAGAAUAGGGCGUCCUUCUCCCCCAUGUCCGGGAUUUCCAGCAUCAGUUCGGAAAACUCUUUCACAUACUCCCGGAUAGCACCCUCCUUGUGCUGGAGGCGCCUAAGCUUGGCCCGAGCCUCACUUUCGGCAUUCUCUGGGUAGAACUGCCUCUUCAGCUCCUUGGUGAACUCUCCC